RNAcentral lists this ribosomal RNA (253 nucleotides) under uncultured bacterium. RNAcentral's name for it is "partial 16S ribosomal RNA". It matches the Rfam family "Bacterial small subunit ribosomal RNA", at positions 524 to 776 of the family's 1533-position model. The record is from RNAcentral.
UACGGAGGGGGCUAGCGUUGUUCGGAAUUACUGGGCGUAAAGCGCACGUAGGCGGGCUUGUAAGUCAGGGGUGAAAUCCCGAGGCUCAACCUCGGAACUGCCUUUGAUACUGCAAGUCUCGAGUCCGAGAGAGGUGAGUGGAAUUCCUAGUGUAGAGGUGAAAUUCGUAGAUAUUAGGAAGAACACCAGUGGCGAAGGCGGCUCACUGGCUCGGUACUGACGCUGAGGUGCGAAAGCGUGGGGAGCAAACAGG